Molecule: ribosomal RNA, 481 nt
Filed under: uncultured bacterium
Lineage: Bacteria
Description: partial 16S ribosomal RNA
Rfam family: Bacterial small subunit ribosomal RNA
Source: RNAcentral
AUUGAACGCUGGCGGCAUGCCUUACACAUGCAAGUCGAACGGUAACGGGCCUUCGGGUGCCGCCGAGUGGCGAACGGGUGAGUAAUACAUCGGAACGUGCCCGAUCGUGGGGGAUAACGAGGCGAAAGCUUUGCUAAUACCGCAUACGAUCUACGGAUGAAAGCAGGGGACCGCAAGGCCUUGCGCGGACGGAGCGGCCGAUGGCAGAUUAGGUAGUUGGUGGGAUAAAAGCUUCCAAGCCGACGAUCUGUAGCUGGUCUGAGAGGAUGAUCAGCCACACUGGGACUGAGACACGGCCCAGACUCCUACGGGAGGCAGCAGCGGGGAAUUUUGGACAAUGGGCGCAAGCCUGAUCCAGCCAUGCCGCGUGCAGGAUGAAGGCCUUCGGGUUGUAAACUGCUUUUGUACGGAACGAAAAGCCUUCUUUUAAUACAGGAGGGUCAUGACGGUACCGUAAGAAUAAGCACCGGCUAACUACGUG